GGUAAAUAGAUAUAUUGUUAACAUAAAAUAACUGUGUUUAUCGCUAACACACCUUAACGCCGCAUUUAAAAGAACAAAUAUCGGUCACAAAACUAGAGUAAAUACUCAGGUAAAUAUUUGUUUUUGUAAAACUGACACGUGAUCGAAGUUCUAUUCUACUUUCGAUUUUAAAGUUAAGUGUGAAAAAAUGGCGACAAAGAAGGAGUAAACAGAAUACGGCAAAUAACAAAGACUGUAUGGCUUCACACUAUGGUUUACUUAAAAUUGAAAGCUAUAUGAAGAGUAGGAUGCUCAAGUAUUUGCCAAGUAAACAGGACACAGAACGUUAGUAAGAUACGAAACUUAUCUAUAGAUCACUUAAAAAUGAAGAGCUAACGCCGCCUGAAAUACAAUAAUAAGACAGAUCUCGUUACAUUGCGCCAAGGGUUGAUAUCCGCUUACAUCCGUUUUCUACAAGAGACACUUUACAAGAGUAGUUUUAAGGGAUUUACCAGACAUUUAUCGGCGGAAAGAAAACAGCCCAAAAUAAAACACAAUCUAUAUUUUCAUGCACUUUUUCUAGUUUCAGUAAAUUUACUGUGUUUUAUUUAGUAAAAUCCAUAUUGAAAUCGAGAUCUAUUUCUAAAAAAAAAAGCCACUCGAUAGUUAGUUCAAAUUUAGAUGGUAAAUCAUAACUUUACGAUUUUACAUAAUGUUACACUUGCCUAAAUGUAAAUGUAUACAUGUACAUACCAUUCAAAAUUAUAUUGUUACAAGUGGAAAUACUUGUGCAGGUUGAUAGAUGCUAACAUACAAUGUGAUGAAAAAUAUGGUUUUUGUUGUCUUUAUAAAUAAUAAGUUUAUAAACUGUGUUCUUGGUUUUUUUUAUUAUAUACAAAACAAAAUUGUCAAAGGAAAUUGGAUAAUAACACUAUAUUUCUCAUAUGUCUAAUUCACAUGGUUUAGGUUGAAUUUGAUUUUAGUUCAACUCGUCUCUGUUUCAUUUUGUUGUUCAUUCAGCUGUUAACCAUUGCUUUUCGUUUAAGCUAUGAUAACAUCUUAUCUACGAAACGUUUCAUCACGUGAAUUAUCGAUUAUUCCAAAAAGUAGUAGUAUAGUUGGCAAAACGUCGUUUUUAUAGCCAAUAUUGUCAUUUACAUCUAUUUUUCGAUUUAUUGCAGAGUAUUGAUUUGUUUUAGUUAAUUAUUGUCCCAAUAUCAAAUGGGUUUCGUUUGAUUACAAUCCGUUAGCCAGAACAAAGACUUGUAAAUACCCAGAGUGAAAUAUCACUAUCCAAUUUCAACUAAAUUAAUAAUUCAAUUAUUUGUGGAACCAACCAUCAGUCAAUCAAUUUUUUUUUACACUGACAAGAUACAAAGUUAAUCAUACAAUUUUUACAGUGGGUUUUUCUUUUAUUUGAAUUGGUCUCAGCAAACAGUAUUUCUUUAAUUAAAGGGGAAGGAAAGUCAAAAACAUAAUUUAUCUAUUUUAAUAAAGUGGUGUAAAUUAUCGCAUGUGGUCAUGCUGUUUUGAAAAUAAAAUACGUAAUUAAGCUUUAAUGAACGUUUGAAGUUGGAGAAAUCGUAUUUACUGGAGGCUGACAUGAUGUAGAACUC
Molecule: long non-coding RNA, 1595 nt
Organism: Magallana angulata
Lineage: Eukaryota; Metazoa; Mollusca; Bivalvia; Ostreida; Ostreidae
Exons: 2
Source: RefSeq, a predicted model, not a curated record